AACUUUUGGCAACGGAUCUCUUGGUUCUCGCAUCGAUGAAGAACGCAGCAAAUUGCGAUAAGUAUUGUGAAUUGCAGGAUUUUGUGAAUCAUCGAAUUUUUGAACGCACAUUGCACCUUCUGGUAUUCCGGAGGGUAUACCUGUUUGAGCGUCAUUUAUAUACUCAAAAGACUAUCUUUUGGUUAUGGGCGAUAUUCUCACUUGUGAGAAUUUGUCUGAAAUGAAGUGGUACGCUUAGCUUGUACGCAUGCUUUCUGCGCCGAUGUUAUUAAUAUUUUAAUUCUUUGGUGACGAGAUGCAGAGCGGCUUGCUUUGAGUUCCUUAACUAUUGGAAUUUUUCUAAUUUUGACCUCAAAUCAGGCAGGAGUACCCGCUGAACUUAAGCAUAUCAAUAAGCGGAGGCU
This 404-nucleotide unclassified non-coding RNA is filed under the name uncultured Lipomyces. RNAcentral's name for it is "sequence contains ITS2". The stretch from base 1 to 154 matches the Rfam family "5.8S ribosomal RNA". The record is from RNAcentral. Lineage: Eukaryota; Fungi; Ascomycota; Lipomycetes; Lipomycetales; Lipomycetaceae.